RNAcentral lists this transfer RNA (66 nucleotides) under Tricentrus sp. EMHAU-15062504. RNAcentral describes it as "tRNA-Leu". The record is from RNAcentral. Lineage: Eukaryota; Metazoa; Arthropoda; Insecta; Hemiptera; Membracidae. RNAcentral also lists the same sequence under 1 other name.
AUUAGUUUGGCAGAAUUAUUGUGUUAAAUUUAGAUUUUAAUAAUAUGUAUUUUUACAUAGCUAAUA